Molecule: long non-coding RNA, 359 nt
Filed under: Homo sapiens (human)
Lineage: Eukaryota; Metazoa; Chordata; Mammalia; Primates; Hominidae
Description: non-protein coding lnc-DGCR6-2:27
Source: RNAcentral
GCAGGGCUGAAUGGUCGCUGAGACAGAGAUGGAAGCCAGGACAAGGGAGCCCACCGGGCCCAGAUAGAGACUUCAGAACCCACUCCUGAGAACAGCGGAGCCAGGCGCUUAGAGGAAGACCAAAUGCUGCCAGGACACGGAUUGUCCAGGAUUACAUUCCAGCAUCUUAUUAGAUGGCCUGAUUAGCCAGAGGUUUCCAGGCCGUCUGUCCGCCUCCAGGAGAUGGACUGGGACCUUUAGACAUCGGUGGAGAACAGGAUGCUCUGUCCCUUGCUGUCCAGGGCAGGGAUGGCCUCCAGCCGCAAGAAGUACAGCAGCACCUCGACCUGCCCUCGCGGAGUGGGGAAGAGGAGAGUGGC